Patella vulgata (common limpet) is the source of this 544-nucleotide long non-coding RNA. RefSeq lists it as uncharacterized. The record is from RefSeq and is a predicted model, not a curated record. The transcript is spliced from 5 exons. NCBI's taxonomy places the organism in Eukaryota, Metazoa, Mollusca, Gastropoda, Patellidae.
GUCUGUCAUCUGUACCUUUAGAAUGUUCAAGUUUCAUCUUCUAACCUUUUUACUGGCAGCCAUGUUUAUAACUUCUAGAGGGUCCGUCUCAUUCCCGCGAAUAGCCAAUGGAAUGAUGCAAUUAAUGGAUCACGGAUUUGGUGGAAAUCGUCCUGGAGAGAGUUUAAUGAUGCCCCGAGAAUGUGAUGAAUUACUAAUACCCUUUCUGCGAGCGAUUAUAGAACACCGUUCUCGGGCUGGUGACGAUGAUGGAGUUGUGACAGCAAAACAAUAUUAUAUGACAUUACACAACGCAAUAGUGGAACCUGGUUAUGGUUGUGAAAUAGACGUAUUACGAGAAGUCAUUUGUCUCGAUAAAAAUAGAAAUGGGCAAAUAGAAGAGAAAGAAUUGAAAGAAAAUUAAACGGGAUAUUGACUGUAUAUGAAAUCAGGUUAGCGGAUAAAGACAAAUUGAUAAAGAAAUAAAACGCUGUAAAAGUAAUCAUUUUUACAUCAACAUAUAAACUGAAUGCAAUUGAUGAAAUAUUAUAUUAACCCUCUGGGA